This 161-nucleotide ribosomal RNA is filed under the name uncultured bacterium. RNAcentral's name for it is "partial 16S ribosomal RNA". It matches the Rfam family "Bacterial small subunit ribosomal RNA", at positions 355 to 512 of the family's 1533-position model. The record is from RNAcentral.
UGAGGAAUAUUGGUCAAUGGGCGCGAGCCUGAACCAGCCAAGUCGCGUGAGGGAUGACGGCCCUACGGGUUGUAAACCUCUUUUGUCGGGGAGCAAAUUCCGCCACGUGUGGCGGAGUCGAGAGUACCCGAAGAAAAAGCAUCGGCUAACUCCGUGCCAGU